AACACAAACUACCUACUAUUAACAACAACAAUAUACCCCCCAAAAUGAGAGCAUUAUUAGUGAUGGUAUGCAUUCUCCUGGCUUCCACUCUCUUUAUCCCUACUUCCACCAUGGCUCUACAACUUGGGGAGAAGGACAUCAAUGAUCCACCAGUGUUUACCACUCCUAAUUGUGGCCGUGGAAAGCCUUAGAAGAACUGCAUACCAGCUACAACUCCUCCUAAGAUCCCACCCUGUUCCGUUUAUAACCGCCACGGCUGCUAAGAGUAGCCAGCUAAACCUUGAAUGUAAUGGGCAAGCUAUAGGAUCCAUUGGCGAAAUUGUAAUGUGAAUAUAUAAAAACCAGAUCAUGAAGUUGCAUUACCUGCCCAUGAUUUGUGUUUUCUUCAAGACUAUUAUGUAGUUUGUUUCAUCAUAUGUAGUGUGUCUGCAAUAACGAGUUACUAUGAGCUCAUCAACAUUGGCUUCUCAAGGCUUUCAAUUACUCUUCCA
Long non-coding RNA from Gossypium arboreum, 491 nucleotides. RefSeq lists it as uncharacterized. The transcript is spliced from 2 exons. The record is from RefSeq and is a predicted model, not a curated record. NCBI's taxonomy places the organism in Eukaryota, Viridiplantae, Streptophyta, Magnoliopsida, Malvales, Malvaceae.